This 497-nucleotide ribosomal RNA is filed under the name uncultured bacterium. RNAcentral's name for it is "partial 16S ribosomal RNA". It matches the Rfam family "Bacterial small subunit ribosomal RNA", at positions 28 to 507 of the family's 1533-position model. The record is from RNAcentral.
GAUGAACGCUGGCGGCGUGCCUAAUACAUGCAAGUCGAGCGAACAGACGAGGAGCUUGCUCCUCUGACGUUAGCGGCGGACGGGUGAGUAACACGUGGAUAACCUACCUAUAAGACUGGGAUAACUUCGGGAAACCGGAGCUAAUACCGGAUAAUAUAUUGAACCGCAUGGUUCAAUAGUGAAAGACGGUUUUGCUGUCACUUAUAGAUGGAUCCGCGCCGCAUUAGCUAGUUGGUAAGGUAACGGCUUACCAAGGCAACGAUGCGUAGCCGACCUGAGAGGGUGAUCGGCCACACUGGAAGUGAGACACGGUCCAGACUCCUACGGGAGGCAGCAGUAGGGAAUCUUCCGCAAUGGGCGAAAGCCUGACGGAGCAACGCCGCGUGAGUGAUGAAGGUCUUCGGAUCGUAAAACUCUGUUAUUAGGGAAGAACAAAUGUGUAAGUAACGAUGCACGUCUUGACGGUACCUAAUCAGAAAGCCACGGCUAACUACGUG